This 209-nucleotide small nuclear RNA is filed under the name Nannospalax galili (Upper Galilee mountains blind mole rat). RNAcentral's name for it is "U2 spliceosomal RNA (ENSNGAG00000003276.1)". It matches the Rfam family "U2 spliceosomal RNA". From Rfam's summary of the family: U2 is a small nuclear RNA (snRNA) component of the spliceosome (involved in pre-mRNA splicing). Complementary binding between U2 snRNA (in an area lying towards the 5' end but 3' to hairpin I) and the branchpoint sequence (BPS) of the intron results the bulging out of an unpaired adenosine, on the BPS, which initiates a nucleophilic attack at the intronic 5' splice site, thus starting the first of two transesterification reactions that mediate splicing. The record is from Rfam by way of RNAcentral. Lineage: Eukaryota; Metazoa; Chordata; Mammalia; Rodentia; Spalacidae.
AAUGCUUCUAAUCAUGUGGUUAUUAAAUAAUUAAAAAAAAAAGAUUAAGUGUAGUGUCUGUUCUUACCAGUUUAAUACCUCAUACGUCCUCUAGCCAAAGACAAUAUAUUAAAUGGAUUUUUGGAGUUAGUAGAUGGAAUAGGAGCUUGCUGUAUCCACUCCAUGCAUUUACCUGGCAUUGCAGGUCCUCCAGGAAUGGUCCACCACUU